RNAcentral lists this ribosomal RNA (712 nucleotides) under uncultured bacterium. RNAcentral's name for it is "bacterial SSU rRNA". It matches the Rfam family "Bacterial small subunit ribosomal RNA", at positions 127 to 851 of the family's 1533-position model. The record is from RNAcentral.
UGCCUUUAUCAGGGGGAUAACGCAUCGAAAGAUGUGCUAAUACCGCGUAAGACCACAGCCUCACAUGGGGCAGGGGUCAAAGGAGGAAUCCGGAUAAAGAUGGGCUCGCGUCCGAUUAGCUAGUUGGUGAGAUAACAGCCCACCAAGGCGACGAUCGGUAGCCGACCUGAGAGGGUGAUCGGCCACAUUGGAACUGAGAGACGGUCCAGACUCCUACGGGAGGCAGCAGUGGGGAAUAUUGGGCAAUGGGCGAAAGCCUGACCCAGCAACGCCGCGUGAGGGAAGAAGGGUUUCGGCUCGUAAACCUCUGUCCUAUGGGACGAAGGAAGUGACGGUACCAUAGGAGGAAGCCCCGGCUAACUACGUGCCAGCAGCCGCGGUAAUACGUAGGGGGCGAGCGUUGUCCGGAAUGAUUGGGCGUAAAGGGCGCGUAGGCGGCCUACUAAGUCUGAAGUGAAAGUCCUGCUUUCAAGGUGGGAAGUGCUUUGGAUACUGGUGGGCUGGAGUGCAGGAGAGGAAAGCGGAAUUACCGGUGUAGCGGUGAAAUGCGUAGAGAUCGGUAGGAACACCAGUGGCGAAGGCGGCUUUCUGGACUGAAACUGACGCUGAGGCGCGAAAGCGUGGGGAGCAAACAGGAUUAGAUACCCUGGUAGUCCACGCGGUAAACGAUGAAUGCUAGGUGUAGGAGGUAUCGACCCCUUCUGUGCCGCAG